CCUGGUGUCUAUGGCGGUGUGGACCCACCCUCAUCCAUCCCGAACUGAGGAGUGAAACGCACCUGCGGCGAAGAUAGUUGGACGGCUGCGUCCUGCCAAAAUAGCUCGAUGCCAGGU
Molecule: ribosomal RNA, 117 nt
Filed under: Thermocoleostomius sinensis A174
Lineage: Bacteria; Bacillati; Cyanobacteriota; Cyanophyceae; Oculatellales; Oculatellaceae
Also listed under: 1 other name
Source: RNAcentral